UUAUAUAAGAAAUUUGUGUUAAAUCUCCCAAGUAAACUGCUGAAAAUUUUUCACAAAGUACUACCAUUUGGGUUGAGAGUUGUGAUCAGUUUUGUGACCCCCUGUUGACUGUUAGCCCUGAGUGCACAUCAGUUGAGUUUCUGCUGUUUCGACCACUCUAAGGACCUUUUCUUCUAGGGGUCCCUUAAUCAAAGUUUCUCAGAACUUAGUAAAGAACUUACUGGUAAAAUUUCAGCUUUAUUGGGUCUCUGGUUUUGAAGUUAUGUUGAGUUUAUCUUGACUCGGAUCUGAAAAAUUCCAGCAUGUACACUUAAUGGGAAUCUGAGAUUAUCACCUUGUUAGGUUCUGUUCUAGCCCUACCUUUGAAUACCAAACUUGUUACACACUAUCUAAAGAACAUGCUGGUAAAAUUUGAGAAAUUUUGGACGAAUAAUUGCUGAGUUAUGAGCUUUUCUCUAACUGCCAGAAAUCUGUUCUGAUUUCCAAGUGUUAACUCCGUUUCUCACUUGUCCUUUGGUUACACAUGGCUCAGCCCGUGCACAUUGUAGUCGGUAUGGAUGGCACCACCUACUCACGGUGCCUUCACUACGAGGGUUUCCCAGCCGUGCUGUAGGACACCCUACGCUCUUUCGGGUACCAGUCGCCGCUGGUUUACGCGGGACGUGCGUACCAGGACCGCGGGAUUCCGUGGAGUCGCGUGCACAUGCGGGUGCCCCCGCCUCCGGACCAGCCACAGUGGCCGCUGUUGGAGGUGGUGGCUGAGGGAGACACGCUACAGGACACCUGGGAGUUCGCAGCCUUGCAGACUCU
This 810-nucleotide long non-coding RNA is filed under the name Setaria viridis. RNAcentral describes it as "long non-coding RNA (SVIR_LNC009298)". Lineage: Eukaryota; Viridiplantae; Streptophyta; Magnoliopsida; Poales; Poaceae. The record is from RNAcentral.